UUGGGGCCGGAACGACCUGUUACCGUUAAUUUAUACCACUAAAAUCUACUAGAGUUGUCUUUCCUUAAGAAGCAGAAGACACUUGCUGUGAAAACGGAUAUGGCUGCCGAAUUCUGAAGAAAAGUUUAUUUUAGGGAUCUUUACAGGUAUACUUAGGAAAACUGACUGUCAGGUACAGUGCUAUUAGGAUGUUGUCCACUAAGCUAAUGAUGGGGAUUGUAGCACUACCCUGCACACAGACAUGGAAUGGAUUUGCCUAGUCCAUUAUCAGAAGAGUGACCAGGACUGUUCGUCUCAUCAGAGAAGUUUCUCGAGAAGCAUUACAAGGGACUUGUAUGAAUGGGCAGAAGAAUUUUAUUUAACUGACCACCCCAUCAUUGCCUGCUGUUGGAGACUGAACACUUUAUUGAAAAUUGCUGGGGUGUAGCAAUCAGUGGGUGUCCUUAUUUGCCCUGAGAAGAGUCAGAGAAGUAUUCAUUUUUAUUGCAAAAAGUUUAGUUCAUGUAAUGAGCAUGAACACACAUUUUACAGUUAUCUCCCUUAGACUAUGUAAAUUAUAAUACAGCACUUGCUAAUGAUGUUAUUUUACAUAUUAAUGUUGAUUGAAUGUUGUCAAUUUGGUUUGUAGUCAAAGAUAUGAGUUAUAGCUGCCUGUAUUGUACCAGUUUACAUACAGUUACCUUCAGAAUUAACAGUAGAUUACAUGUACCUGACUCCCCAGGUUACCUGAGUGAUUAUUGCUGUUGGUCUGCAUCCAUCACUGUGUUUCGUCUGCCGUGCAUUACCAGUAUUGAACAUGUUAUAUACCUGUCUUUAGAUGGGACGUAUUAACUUAAGCUCCCUGGGCCUCAUGAGAUGGUGACACCCUGCAGUAGGAGCAGUUCCUACCGAUAUCUCUUAAAAGCAGACAGAGGUUCUCAUAGCAUCUGAUCCAUUUCUGGAGACAGACUUUUGUAUGGAGCUGGGUAGCAGUUACUUAGAUGUCCAGCUUAUUGAUGAGGAUAAUUUCCCUGAGACUCUAACAUUUUGUAGGACUUGGAUAGCUCUAUUGCUGUAGAAAAUGUCAGCACCACAGGGCUAACAUCACUCAGCCAAACUUGCCUCAAACCAUGCUUGGGUAAAGAGGAUUCAAGUUUGUGCAAAAUGGAGGACCAUGCUUCAUCCAAAGGGGAGUACCCCCGCGGUGGUCUAGAAGUUAGAGUGCACGCCCCACAUGCGGAAGGCCGGGGUUCAAAUCCUGGCCACGACAGACCUAAGUCGUUAAAACAGGUAGUGACAGUUCCAUCGUCAAACGUUCAGCAUCAGGUGUGAAUGUCACGGGUCCUCGGAGACGACCUUAAAAACGGUAGGUAUGGCACGCUAAAUUUAAAUGUUAAACAAGAUACAAUCAAUCAUUUGAACAAACAUGAAUUCCCUUUACCUAAGGAUGAAUGGUACCAGUUUUGAUUGGAAUAGGCCAAGUGGUUGUGGAGAAGAAGAUGAUAAUGUAAAAAGAAGGGUUGGGAGGUUAAUACCGCCCAGGUUUUAACCAGUGGUUUUAACAGUCCCGGUCAAUACUCCCCAAGUGGUCAAUUGUGAUUUAAACUGUCCAUUUUCCUAUUUUUGUACAUUUCUUGCACAGAUAAAGAUAUAUUAAGUCUUUUCAUUAUACAGAUCAAUUGUUGAUUAAUAUUUUUCAUUAGAUAAUCAAAUGUAAUUUCAUAAGUUUAAUAUAUUUGGCUUGCUGAAACUGACCGAAAUAUCUUCAGUACCUACCAGAGGGUCACAGUUCUAUAGCAUGAGGGUCACAGUUCUAUAGCAUAGCUUGACAAUUGGAGACAGACCUGUUCAUACAUGUACCUGGACAGAUUAAGAAUAAAAGGUAGCUGGACAUUACCUGAGCACAGGAAGCAGAGUUGACAGGUAUUAAUAAGCAUAGGCUGGGACCAGAGAUGACCAGUGUGCCUGUUAUUGUUAUGAAAACAUCGCCAACCCACCCCCUCAAAUGUUUAUUAUUCAACAGUUAAAAUGAAGAUUGAUGAAACAAUACUUAUAGGUAGUUCUUGUUAAACUAAGGAAUUUGAACAGAAACUUUUGCUGCAUCUUCCCCAAUUCAACAGAGUCAAUUGUACAUUAUUUAUUUAAUAUUGUCACUUAUCAGUAUAUUAUAAACUGAUAGUGCAUGUUAUGAAUUACAGUAUUUACCAUAAUGGUCACUUAAACGUUUAAAAUAAAUAACACAGACUAUAAUGACCAAAUAAUUUUCAAUCGACCAGUAUUAACUAGUAUUGACUGGUUUUAACUAGUAUUAUUGACCACCGGCCCAGUCAAUACUCAUAUUGACCACUUUUUUGCCAACCCUGAAUUAAAAAGUCAAUAACAACAGAUAAAUUUCAAUAGGAAAAGCUCACUUUGUAUUGUGGAUAUCGGCCUGGAUAGUUUUGUGUGUUUAGAGCACCUGACUAUUACAUAUGUAAUACAGGGAUGUCAGGUUUGAUUCCCGGUCCAGUCAAACCAUGGCUAUCGGUUUGAAUAGCUCAGUGGUUAGAGCACCUGACUAGUAAUACAGGGGUCUGGGGUCCAAUUCCUGGUCGUUAUAUCAUGGGAAUGAAGGGCCUUUGAUUCGAUUCCCGGUUCAGUCAUAUCUUCUUUUCCUUCCCAUUACAUCUACAUCUAUGUAAACAUGUAAAAAUAUAUCACAAACUAUCCUUGACAAUUCAGUUUGAUAUGAUUACACUUUGUUUA
Molecule: long non-coding RNA, 2724 nt
Organism: Ostrea edulis (European flat oyster)
Lineage: Eukaryota; Metazoa; Mollusca; Bivalvia; Ostreida; Ostreidae
Exons: 7
Source: RefSeq, a predicted model, not a curated record